RNAcentral lists this long non-coding RNA (7182 nucleotides) under Piliocolobus tephrosceles (Ugandan red Colobus). RNAcentral describes it as "lncRNA (ENSPTEG00000007950.1)". Lineage: Eukaryota; Metazoa; Chordata; Mammalia; Primates; Cercopithecidae. The record is from RNAcentral.
AAAAAAAAAAAAUACAAUAACAAUAACAAUUACAAUUACAACACAUUAUGUCUUUUCUAUGCAUACAUUAUUUACUUUAUAGGUACAAGAUAAAUGGGAAAAUUACGUCAAUGACGUUAUUGAUUUAACUAAUUGUGAUUUACAUCAAGAAAAUGACUCAACAAUAAGUAUUAAAAGUAAUGAGCAUAUAUCAAAUGGAAAUAUUUAUCCAUUUUUAACUAACCUUAGUAGUACAUAUAGUCAUGGGAAUAGUGAAGAAAGCAGUUCAAUCGCUUCCUCAAGUGAUUUUACUUACGAUGCAAAUAGAACUGCUUAUACGUCGAAUAUAUUAAAUAAAUACUUUUCGACCGAUAUAUACGAUGAAAAUAGAUUUUCUACUUGUACUAAAAGGCUUGCUAGUAUGAUUAAACAUAAACAAGUAAAAGCAAGCAGUCAGUUUGGUGGUAACCGCAUUAAUCAUUUUGGUAGUAAAAAUAUGAAUCGGUUUGUCGAUAAUGACGUUAAACUAAAAUUUGUUAAUAGUUUAAUUGAUUAUUAUAGAAAACUUCAGGUUAGACACGUACAUACAUACAUGCAUACCUACAUGAAUACAUACAUGGAUACAUACAUAUAUAGAAACGUAAAUAUAGAUAUAGGUAUAAUUAUGGUUAUAGAUUUACUAAAUAUGUUAAGCUAAGCUGUAUUUUAAGUGGAAUUCCUUUGUUAUUUUUAUGAUUAUUACAUAAAUAAACAUGAAGUUGAAUAUACAUUUUUUUUUUUUUUUUUUUUUUUUUUCAUCUAACAAUUUUAUUUUAGAAGUUAGUAUAUAUACGCCUAUGUGUGUACAUUAACAAAUUUGUACAAUAUUGCGAGUAUAUAAAUAGUUAUAACACAAUUUUUCUUCUUUGUAGAACCCAAAAGGAAACAUUGAUGGUGAUGAAACUAAAAAAAAUUCUAAAGGAAGUAAUACAAGUAAUUUUUUUUUUAAAAAAAAAAAAAAAAAAAAAAAAUAAUCUUGCAUUAUACAUAACUUAUUUGUACAUAUUAUAUAUGCGUGUGCGCGUGUAUAUUAUCAUACUCUUAUUCAGAUGGCACCAUGAAUACGAAUAGUGAUAACUCUACAGGAGCCCCAACUUUGAGUAAAAAGAGUAACAAAAAAAAUUGCGAAUCCCAACUUGAAGAAAAAACAAACAUAAAUUAUAACUUAAAUACAAAAAAAAUAGAAAACCAAAAUAAGGAUAAUAAGAAAAUACAUAUAGGAACAUAUAUAAAAGCUGUUGAAUGUAAUGGAAAAGUAAAUAAAGCAAUAGUUAACAACAGAAAAAAAUUAAAUGAUGAUAACAAAAUAGGUAGCAAGGUAAAAGUUGAAAAAGAUGUGAAUGUGUUAAGUUCGAAUAAAAAAUACUUGAAAUUAAAAAACAGUUUAUAUAAAAAUAAAAAUGAAGCAAUACUACAUACUAAAAAAACUCACGUACAGGCAAAAAAUGUUUUAAAAGAAAAUAUAAAAAUAAUUAAUAAAAAUAGUAUAAUAAAUGAAAAAAAAAAUAAUAUGAUAAAUAUUAAUUUAACUUAUGAUAAACAUGCUGAUGAUAGCAUAAAAGACAAAGAUGUGUUUGUUUUUAAUAAUAAUAAUAAUAGUAGUAAUAAUAAUAAUAAUAGUAGUAGUAAUAAUAAUAAUAAUAAUAGUAAUAAUAAUAAUAAUAAUAAUAGUAAUAAUAAUAAUAAUAAUAGUAAUGUAAAUAGCGGGAAUGACAAUAAGGGUGAUAGUAGUGGCAAAAGCAUCGAUGUAUUUAAACAUGAGAGUAAUAAAAUAGUAGUAAAUGUUAGUAAUAAUUUACAAGUAGAAAGUAGUACAAAAACGUUAAAUAGAAAUAAAUUAGAUACUAGUAUAAAAAGUGAAAAUUUUUUUUUUAGAAAUAAUAAACGCGUAAACGUGUUGAGUAAUGAAAAAGGAACUAUAAAUAAGGUAGCAAAAGUGAUAAAAAGCGAAAAAAAACAAAACAAAAACUUAAAACAUUUGUUUUUUCAAAGUUCUAAUGAAAAAACAAAAAAGGAUAAUAAUUUUAUUCCAGUAACUAAUAAAUGUUCUUAUUUUGGUAAAAAUAGAAAAGAAAUCGAGGUUAAGACAUACAGAGAUAAAGGGGUAGAUAAAAAAAAGUAUAACGAAAAAAGGAACAGAAAAGAUAAAAGAAUUUCGAACAAAAUAGACUCUAACAGAACGAAAAAAAAUUGUAAAACAAAAAAAAACUGUGCGUAUGUAGAAAAUGAUAAUGCAAAUAUAUUGAAUAGUAAAAAAAAAAAAAAAAAGUUUGACAUAAAUUUGGAUAAAAUGACAAAAACUAAAACAGAGAUGUUAAAAAAGGGAUUAAGUGUAAGUAGAAAGCAAUUAUAUCUAGAUAAAACAGAUGAUAAAAAUACGUAUAAUCUUACCAUGGAUUUCACAAAAAGUAUGUUUAAACAUAAAAAUAAAGAUGUAGAAUUAGAUAAGAAUGAUAAUAAUAAAAUAAUAAGAAAUGAAUUAUGUUGGACCCAAAAAAUAGAAAACUCAAAUUUACAUUCAAAUCAUGAUAAAAACAACAGUAAUAGAUGUUAUAAGCUUACUCCUAAAGAAACUAUUGAAAUGCCUAAAAGUAAAAAAGGCAUUUCUCAAAUUUUUAUAUCAUCUACAAAACAUCUUAAUACUUUUAUAGAAAACAGUACUUUAAAAUCUAGUGUGUUAUUAAAUAGUGACAAAGAACAUACAAAAAAAAGUGUCUCUUCUAACAAUGCAAAAUCGUACUUUUCAAGAAAUAAUUUUUUUUCUUCUUCUAAAAUUUUACAUAGCCAUAAAACUAAAAGUUAUAAUAGUAAUAAAUAUAAAAGUUGUUUUUCUAUGUAUAAUACACAGGAAUACGACAAAACUAUUAAAAGUAGUUUAUUUUAUCAAGAUAUACAAAAUAAAAACACUAAGGGGAGACAUGUAUUAUAUGAUAAGUAUGAGAAAAAAACAGCUGAAAGGAGUAGACAUUUUAAUAACAGAAGUAUUGAUAAUGACAAUAAUAAUAGAAAUGAUAGUGACAAUAAUAAUAGAAAUGAUAGUGACAAUAAUAAUAGAAAUGAUAGUGACAAUAAUAAUAGAAAUGAUAGUGAAAAUAAUAAUACUGACGAUCUGGAUUUACUUGAAGAUUAUAAAAAACACCUUAGUUUGCAAAAUAUUAAUUAUUUAAACGGUGUUAAUAAUUCUGAAAAAAAAUCAAUGACUAUUUGUAAUGCAUAUAGUACAAAAACAAACAGUAAUUAUAUUGGCGAAGGCCAAACUGGUGAAUUACGAGCCAAUUUACAGCAUAAGCAAAAAUUGGGUGGUAAUGGUUAUGACGGUAAUAGUAACACCAGUAAUGGUAACAAAGAUAAUGGCUACGAAGGUAAUGGUCACAAAGGUAAUGGUCACAAAGGUAAUGGUAAGAGUUAUGAAAAAAUGUGUGAUCGCGUUGAAAGUUCAGUAUUAAGAUUAUUUUACGAAGCUUAUGUGAACAGAAAAGGAAAUAAAGAAAAUGCGAAUGAUAUACAUGAAACCACUUUGGAUUAUUCUGGACGUGUCGUAACAAACCAAACAAGUAGAACAAAGUAUGACACACAUUAUGACUAUAAAACAUAUGAAAAAGAAUACAUGACUGAAUUAAUUGACAUUUUAAAAGGGAUGAAUACACAUAAUCAAGGGAAUAACAUACAGAAAACGCGGAACUGUAGUUCUUUAUAUUCAUGUGAUGUACAGUAUAAAAAUGUUGUUCAUCUAAAACACAUAUCAUGCGUCAAAAGCUCAUCUAACGAAGUAAAUAAUAAAAAAAAAAGUAGCCAGAAUUUAAAAAAAAGUGUUGAUAAUUAUAUAACUAUGCGUAAAUAUAUACGAAAAGAAAUUUAUAGGAUAUUAAAAAUGAGUAAAUACGAUAGUAAGAUAAGAAGUAUAUUAAUGUUUAUGGUGAAUUAUAUACGGAUGAAUGGGUCGGAUUUGGCUAGGUCGGAUUUGGCUAGGUCAGAUUUGGCUAGGUCAGAUUUGGCUAUGUCAGAUAUUAUUGUUGAUCCAACUGGAUGUGGUAAAAACCUGAAUAAAACUAAUUUAUACGUUACAAAAAAAAGUAAAAGUAAAAAAAAUGUAACAGUAUAUAGCGAAAAAAACACAAAAAAAGUAAGAGAAAAGGAAAAGAAUUUGGUGGUACAAAAUAAUACUCCACUUGGUACCCAAACGGAAUAUUUUGUAUCUGGUACUGAGUGCGAAAAAAUGUAUGCUAAUGGUGCACCAAAACAUUUACCUUUGACUAUGUUAAUUGUAAAAAACUUUGAAGAAAAACAGGCAAAGUCAAAAGGUGGUAAAAAAUACACUGUCAAUAACACUCAAGUCCAAUACCAAGUGAAACUAGUUGGUGCAAAUAAAGAAGAGUUAAAAGAAAAUCAAAAAAUUAUAAAAAACGAAAUUGGCUUAUUUAGAAGAAUAGAACAAAUAUACAAAUACAAUAAUAUCGGUAAAUUAAAACGUAACAUAAAUUAUGAUUAUAAUAUUGUAAACAGGUACAUCCCAUUUCCAAAUAUAGUUACUAGUUAUGUUCAAAAAUGUAAUACUGAUGACUUUUUAAAAUAUUCUUUGACUGAAAUGGAAAACAAAGGAUCAGAGUUGAGUACUAUAACCAAUAGUAAUAACAAUAACGGUGGUAAUAACAAUAACGGUGGUAAUAACAAUAACGGUGGUAAUAACAAUAGUAAUGACAUCGUCACUGACACUGACAAAAUAGAAAAAAGUAAUAAUAGUAACACCUUUUUUAAUUGGAAAUAUGUACUAAAAAAAGACAAAAUGAAUAACAUAAAAAACACUAAGGAUAUUAAUUAUAAAUAUAUGGCACUGGCAGUAAAUACAAAAAAUUGUUCAUUAGUAGCCAAGUCGAAGAGCAAUAACAUGAUUUAUAAAAGUGUUGAUUCAAAAAAUAAAUUUAAGAAACUAAUUAACUUUUAUGAUAUUAAAAGUAAUGCUUUGGGUUUAUUAAAUAAAAAAAUAUUUCCAAAAAUUAAUGACAGUAAUAAAUCUAAUGGUAGUAAUAACAUUGCCGAUAGGGAUAACAUACAGAUUCAUAGUGACAGUAAGAGUAAUAAUGGAGAAAAAACAUAUGUAUUAACAGAUGGAAUAAAAGGAUAUAAAUUUAAGUCUAAUACACUUAAAAAAUUUUCUCCGGGUAUAAAACGAAUGGCAAUAAAUAAUUAUCAAAGUACUGUGAAUGAUGCUAUUGCUUCUUCUAUUUGGAAAGACAGCUAUGACAUUAUUAAAUCUAAGAGUGACUUUAGCGUGAAUAAAAACACAAUUUCCACUAGCUUUAAAAAUGUGAUUACAAUUAGUAAAAAUAACAUUUUUAUAAAAAAGAAAGGCAUAUUGAAGUAUCCAGAAAUAAAGAAUAAUAUUAAAGUUAUGACUAUAAGAAAUAUGAUAACAAACAAUAUUGAAAAAGCAAACCAUUCAUUAAAAAAUGCAAAUACUAUGAAACAUAUAAUGAAUGGGAAAAUGAAUGAGAAAAUGAGUGGGAAAAUGAGUGGAAAAAUGAAUGGAAAAAUGAAUGGAAAAAUGAAUGGAAAAAUGAAUGGAAAAAGUGUUAAUACUUUUACUUUAAAGCGGUAUAAUACUACUGCUGCGAAUAUGACUAAUAAUAAAGUUAACACUGAUUAUGCUAAUAGUGAUAAAAAUAAUAACAAUAUGAACAGCAGUAUAAACAAAGACAAAGCGAGCAAUAAUCAUAUUAAGCACAUGUUUAGCGAACAUUAUACAAACUUCAAACCCUUCAAAUCCAAAGAAAAUGCCCUAAAAAAAAUGGGUACUGCCAAAAAUAAUUUAUCUCUUUAUGUGAAACAAAAAAAUAUUUUAAAAAAAAUAGAAAGUAUGUCAGAAAAGCAAAACUUAUCUAAAUAUCCAAAGAAUUAUCAUUUAUUUAAAGAUAAAAAAAAUAUGUAUGAAAAAAAGAAAAGAGAGUUCCAUGUACAAAAAGAAGAACAAAGCUCUACAAAUAGUAUAUUGGAGUUAAAAAAAGAAGUAAGCAAAUUACAAGAAAAUGUUGAUUUUAAGAAUACGAAUAAUAACAGGACAAGGAGCGUACAAGAAAGGAAACGUCUUCAUGAUCGUGAUCGUGAUCGUGGUCGUGGUCGUGCUCGUACAUGUAGUCGUAAUAUUUUCGUCUUUGAUUCGCCAAACACAUACGAUAUGCAUAGCUCGAAUAACACGCACGAUUCAAAUGACACAUAUAACUCGUACAUAUCUCGAAAAAAUAAACCAGUAAGUGCUAAAAGCAAAGAGUUGGAUAAUAGCCAAGUUAGAAACGAAAUGGUUCAUAACCCCAAAUAUACAAAAAGGUUAUUAGAACUUAAAAAAAAAAAGAAAUUACAUGAACACAAUUAUAAACAUAAUAAAAACAUACAUUCUUCACGAAGUUACAGUUUUAAAAAUUCAUAUGAAACGAAUAAAACAAAAAAAAGUAGAAAAAUACCAGAUGAACAUAUUCAUAAUUAUAAAAUGAUCGAUAUUGGCUUAAAAGAGUAUAAAAAAAAAAAAAAAAUUGAUAUGUAUAUAAAUGAUGGAAAUAGUAAAAGAAAAGUGUCGAGUGAUUUGUAUGAUUUGCAUAAAAAAAAAAAAAAUGAUUUAAAGUCCAGGGGAAAAAGUAUAAACUCAAAAAAAAGUAAAUACGAUGAUAGACGCAGUGCUAAAAAUAGUAGAAAACUCAAUACACAGACGUCCUCUAACAUAAGCGAAAGAAGUGACAGUAUGACAAGUUAUAAACAAAAAGUUAGUUCUAAUAACUUUAGGAAUAAAAGUAAAAAAAGUUUAAACAGACAAAGUAGUAAUAGUGGUGAUAAAUAUUUUGCAGAAAAGUCAAACAGUUUUAGUGAGUCGAGUUCAAGUGGAGCAAAUGGGCGUUUCGAUCAAAUUAAACAAACAGAAAAAAACAAAGUCAUUACAAAUAACCAAACUAAUUUUGUCGAUUUAAAAAAAUUAAUGUGCUCUAAAAGUACGCUUGAGUUUUUAGUUGAAAAAAAAUAUAAUGAUAAUUUUACUCCUAUUCGUAGUAAUAAUGAAGCAUCAAAAAUAAAAACCAACAAAACAUCAUCAUCAUCAUCAUCAUUAUCAUUUAAUCCACCCAUGUUAAAAGACAAAAAUAAAAAAAAAUAUAUUCGAUAUUUAACUAAUGCAAAUGAUAU